This 534-nucleotide ribosomal RNA is filed under the name uncultured eukaryote. Its description in RNAcentral is "SSU rRNA". It matches the Rfam family "Eukaryotic small subunit ribosomal RNA", at positions 21 to 549 of the family's 1831-position model. The record is from RNAcentral.
UAGUCAUAUGCUUGUCUCAAAGAUUAAGCCAUGCAUGCCUAAGUACACACUUUGGUAAAGUGAAACCGCGAAUGGCUCAUUAAAUCAGCUACAAUUUAUUAGAUCGUACUGUUACUUGGAUAACUGUGGGAAUUCUAGAGCUAAUACAUGCCGAGAGUCUCUGCUCUUCGGGGCAGAGCGCAGUUAUUAGACCAAAACCAGCCGUAUCUUUCGGGGUACGUACUUUUGGUGACUCUGGAUAACCUUCAGCCGAUCGCAUGGCCUUGUGCCGGCGACGUAUCUUUCAAGUGUCUGCCCUAUCAACUUUCGAUGGUACGUGAUAUGCCUACCAUGGUGAUAACGGGUAACGGGGAAUCAGGGUUCGAUUCCGGAGAGGGAGCCUGAGAAAUGGCUACCACAUCCAAGGAUGGCAGCAGGCGCGCAAAUUACCCACUCCCAGCUUGGGGAGGUAGUGACGAAAAAUAACAAUGCGGGACUCUAAGAGGCCCCGUAAUUGGAAUGAGUACACCUUAAAUCGUUUAACGAGUAUCAAUU